AACGAACGCUGGCGGCAGGCUUAACACAUGCAAGUCGAGCGCCCCGCAAGGGGAGCGGCAGACGGGUGAGUAACGCGUGGGAACGUACCUUUUGGUUCGGAACAACUCCGGGAAACUGGAGCUAAUACCGGAUAAGCCCUAACGGGGAAAGAUUUAUCGCCGAAAGAUCGGCCCGCGUCUGAUUAGCUAGUUGGUGAGGUAACGGCUCACCAAGGCGACGAUCAGUAGCUGGUCUGAGAGGAUGAUCAGCCACACUGGGACUGAGACACGGCCCAGACUCCUACGGGAGGCGGCAGUGGGGAAUAUUGGACAAUGGGCGCAAGCCUGAUCCAGCCAUGCCGCGUGAGUGAUGAAGGCCUUAGGGUUGUAAAGCUCUUUUGUCCGGGAAGAUAAUGACUGUACCGGAAGAAUAAGCCCCGGCUAACUUCGUG
This 431-nucleotide ribosomal RNA is filed under the name uncultured bacterium. Its description in RNAcentral is "partial 16S ribosomal RNA". It matches the Rfam family "Bacterial small subunit ribosomal RNA", at positions 29 to 507 of the family's 1533-position model. The record is from RNAcentral.